RNAcentral lists this ribosomal RNA (117 nucleotides) under Penicillium italicum. Lineage: Eukaryota; Fungi; Ascomycota; Eurotiomycetes; Eurotiales; Aspergillaceae. The record is from RNAcentral.
ACACACAGCCNGGUGUGGAAAACAGGGCUUCCCGUCCGCUCAGCCGUACUUAAGCCACACGCCGGUGAGUUAGUAGUUGGGUGGGUGACCACCAGCGAAUCCUCACUGUUGUAUGUU